This 77-nucleotide transfer RNA is filed under the name Deltaproteobacteria bacterium HGW-Deltaproteobacteria-6. RNAcentral describes it as "tRNA-Arg". It matches the Rfam family "tRNA". From Rfam's summary of the family: Transfer RNA (tRNA) molecules are approximately 80 nucleotides in length. Their secondary structure includes four short double-helical elements and three loops (D, anti-codon, and T loops). Further hydrogen bonds mediate the characteristic L-shaped molecular structure. tRNAs have two regions of fundamental functional importance: the anti-codon, which is responsible for specific mRNA codon recognition, and the 3' end, to which the tRNAs corresponding amino acid is attached (by aminoacyl-tRNA synthetases). tRNAs cope with the degeneracy of the genetic code in two manners: having more than one tRNA (with a specific anti-codon) for a particular amino acid; and 'wobble' base-pairing, i.e. permitting non-standard base-pairing at the 3rd anti-codon position. RNAcentral also lists the same sequence under 2 other names. Lineage: Bacteria; Deltaproteobacteria. The record is from RNAcentral.
GCGCCCAUGGCUCAGCUGGAUAGAGCGCCAGACUACGAAUCUGGAUGUCGGAAGUUCGAAUCUUCCUGGGCGCACCA